GAUGAACGCUAGUGGGAGGCCUAACACAUGCAAGCCGAGCGGUAUUGUUUCUUCGGAAAUGAGAGAGCGGCGUACGGGUGCGUAACACGUGUGCAACCUGCCUUUAUCUGGGGGAUAGCCUUUCGAAAGGAAGAUUAAUACUCCAUAAUAUAUUGAACGGCAUCGUUUAAUAUUGAAAGCUCCGGCGGAUAGAGAUGGGCACGCGCAAGAUUAGCUAGUUGGUGAGGUAACGGCUCACCAAGGCGAUGAUCUUUAGGGGGCCUGAGAGGGUGAUCCCCCACACUGGUACUGAGACACGGACCAGACUCCUACGGGAGGCAGCAGUGAGGAAUAUUGGUCAAUGGGUGCAAGCCUGAACCAGCCAUCCCGCGUGAAGGACGACUGCCCUAUGGGUUGUAAACUUCUUUUGUAUAGGGAUAAACCUGCCCUCGUGAGGGUAGCUGAAGGUACUAUACGAAUAAGCACCGGCUAACUCCGUG
Molecule: ribosomal RNA, 479 nt
Filed under: uncultured bacterium
Lineage: Bacteria
Description: partial 16S ribosomal RNA
Rfam family: Bacterial small subunit ribosomal RNA
Source: RNAcentral